Molecule: long non-coding RNA, 2566 nt
Organism: Tribolium castaneum (red flour beetle)
Lineage: Eukaryota; Metazoa; Arthropoda; Insecta; Coleoptera; Tenebrionidae
Exons: 3
Source: RefSeq, a predicted model, not a curated record
CGAGCCACAUGCUCUUAAUGAUUCUCUUACCCGUAUUCAAAAGCCAAACCAAGAUUAUAUUAAGAAGCAAUCUGCUAGGGAAAGGCCAACAAUAUGUCCUAUUUGUUUUAAUGAUGUUAGCACCCAUUUUACACGCCAUCUACUUCGACACCACAAAAAGAGUAAAGAAGUGCAGCUCCUUGAAAGUCAUAAACCUCGGAGCAAAGAACGUUUAGCUCUAAUUGAGUCAUUAAGAAAGCAAGGAUACUUUCAUCUAAAGAAUGAAAAAGGGAUUUUGAAUCCUGUCAGAACCUCAAAAAACCCAGAUGUUGAGUAUUUUGUUUGCACAUAUUGCUUAGGUUACUUUAGUAAGAAACUUUUGUAUAAGCAUGUCAAAGGUUGUAAAAAACGCCCUCCAGACGAAGCAACGCCUGGAAAUAAUUGUCUAGCCAGAUCUCAAACUUUUGCAUCAUUACUUGUCGUAAAAAAUGAUGAAUUUUUGAAAAAAUCUCGUCUGAAAAAGGAAGUUUUUGGAAUAAUGCGUCCAGACGAGAUUAGUGCAGUAGCGAAAAAUGAUUCAAUAAUUUGUUUGUAUGGAGAAACGCUAUUAAAUAAACACAAAAGACAACAAAUUGCUACCGUUGUUUCAAAUAAGAUAAGAGAAAUGGCCAGAUUAUUGAUUGCUUUAAAAUUAAUGGACAGAACAAUUUGUACUCUUUUUGACGCUUUAAAGCCUGAAAAUUUUAGGCAUUUGGUAUCGGCAGCUAAAGAAAUAAGUGGCUACAAUGCCGAAACAAAAAUGUUCAAGGCACCCUCGCUUGCGUUGCAUAUGGGCACUAAUUUGAAAAUCUUAUGUGACGUAGCCUUAAAAGUUGUCAUUGAAAAGAGACAUUUGCCGAACUUAAGAUGGGAAGAUGAUAGAGAAAAGAAAACAGAAAUCAAGGAACUGAAAAAACUAAUAAGUGGUCAUUGGUGUAAUGAGCUUUCAAGUUUGGCUUUGAAAAACUUAAAAGAAAAACAUUGGGAAAAACCAACAGAACUACCUCUAACAAGCGACAUUUUAACGUUACAAACGUUUAUUAGUGAACAGGCGGACAAAGCAUAUAAUAACUUGAUAAAUGAGGGAAAAACAAAUAUGCGACAAAAUUAUAAAACUUUAGCACAAUGUGUUUUGGCUUUAACAAUAAUGUUCAAUCGAAAACGUGUUGGCGAUGUUCAGUAUUUAAAAUUGGCAACAUACAUUUCGGCUGACAAGAACUCGGUUAUUGAAGGUGAACAAGCAUUUAUGCGUUCUCUCACAUCGGUGGAACAAAUUUUAAGUAAACGAUUUAAAAGAGUGGUCACUGGUGGUAAAGGCUCUAAACCAGUUCCAAUUUUAUUUUCCAUAAAACUACAAAAAAUUAUAGAUUGUCUAAUUAAAAUCAGAACCGAAACAUCUAUUGUGCCAACAUCAAAUCCUUUCCUAUUUGCAAAUCCUGGAUCUCAAGACAGAUGGAUGAAUGGAAGCAACGUAAUGAGAAAACUUGCUUCUAGUUGUGGAGCAAAAAAUCCUAAUCUUUUAACAUCUACCAGAUUUAGAAAACAUAUUGCUACGACUUUACAACUAAUGAGUAUGGAAGACAAUGAAAUGGAACAGGUUGCUACAUUUAUGGGUCAUACUAAAAAAACACAUGCAGAAUUCUAUCGAUUACCGCAAGAUAUUUACCAGACGGCCAAAGUGGCUAAGAUUCUUUUGUUAUUAGAAAAAGGAAAAGGCGAACAGUUUAAAGGAAAAAGUCUAAAUGAGAUUGAAUUAGAGCGAGAUAUCUACUACAGUUCGGAAUCAGAAAGUGAAACAGAUGAAGCAAUACCACUUGCAGAAAAAGUUCUUAGAAAAGCGGCAAAUGCUCCAUUACAAAAUAAAGAAGAAAAGAAAAACGAAAAUGCAGAAAAUAAUACAAACACAGUCACAGAACAAUUAAAUCUAGAAGAGGAAGUAUGUAAUAGCAACAUGGAACAGGAAGCAGAUGCAGAAGUAGAAGAUGUUAAUGGGAAUUCAAAGAAAACAGAAAAUACGAAUAAAAGUAUUGGAAAGAAAAAAGGUAAUUAUAAUAUAUACAAUAAGUUUUACGUUUAUGGUGUUUGUUUUAUAAAAAAAGAAAAUAAUUCAGAAAUGGAAGUAGACACUAAUAACAAUAGAAAGAAUGCAGGAGGAAAGAAUAAGCCUCUUGGAAAGAAAAGUGAAUCUUCAAACUCUGUGCGACAUCGAUGGUCAGAAAAAGAAAAAAGGAUCGUGCUGCAUCAUUUUCGUGGUCACAUUCUAAAGAAAGUUGCUCCGAAGAAACAUGAAUGCGAGGAACUUAUCUCUCAACACAAUGAUAUUCUUGGGUGUGUAAAUUGGGUGCUAGUGAAAACAUUAGUGUACAACACAUACCGUAAUCAAUAAUUUGUUCUUUGAGUUUUAAACUGUUAUUUUGUGAUAGUUGUUUGAAUUGUCUGUAUUUUUUUCAUAUUGUAUGUUUGAAUUUGAAUUGCUGUUUUAUGUUUGUGGUUUGCAUUUUCUCUAUUAUUUGUAUUUAACCAAUAAUUUGUACUUUGAGUUUUGUAC